CCUACGGGAGGCAGCAGUGAGGAAUAUUGGUCAAUGGGCGCGAGCCUGAACCAGCCAAGUCGCGUGAGGGAAGACGGUCCUAUGGAUUGUAAACCUCUUUUGUCGGGGAGCAAAAGACGCCACGCGUGGCGUUCCGAGCGUACCCGAAGAAAAAGCAUCGGCUAACUCCGUGCCAGCAGCCGCGGUAAUACGGAGGAUGCGAGCGUUAUCCGGAUUUAUUGGGUUAAAAGGGUGCGCAGGCGGAAGAUCAAGUCAGCGGGAAAAUUGAGAGGCUCAACCUCUUCGAGCCGUUGAAACUGGGUUUCUUGAGUGAGCGAGAAGAAUGCGGAAUGCGUGGUGUAGCGGUGAAAUGCAUAGAUAUCACGCAGAACUCCGAUUGCGAAGGCAGCAUACCGGCGCUCAACUGACGCUCAUGCACGAAAGUGUGGGUAUCGAACAGGAUUAGAUACCCGGGUAGUC
This 459-nucleotide ribosomal RNA is filed under the name uncultured bacterium. Its description in RNAcentral is "partial 16S ribosomal RNA". It matches the Rfam family "Bacterial small subunit ribosomal RNA", at positions 338 to 795 of the family's 1533-position model. The record is from RNAcentral.